CGGUUAGAAAAGAACGCCGAAGUACAGUUAUUCAUCUAAUUUAAUAAACGUUCGCACAAUGAGGAAAUCAAAUAGGCAUGUUGUGCUCAUUGUGCAUAAGGCACAGGAAAAGACCUGCAUGAGCAAAAUUUGGAUCAGCAAAGUGGGUCAAGGUUCCGUGCAAAUGAGUCGUUUGUUAGGCGUUAACACGUCAUGCAGAAAAGAACUACCAUAUGCAUGCUGUCCAGUGGGAGGCUGCCUGUGACGCCCCUCAGAAUAUGACAAAUAGUUAAGUCACUAUGGGAACAUUAAAGGCCCUUGUCUGCGCUUUCCUUAACAUCUAUUGGCUGAUGAUAUAAACGAUACCGCAUACAACCAAGUUCAACAACCUCUAGGAGCUCAUGAAACUACAGGGGGUGAGCAUACUCAAUAAUCUGAACCAUGGAGAGAACAACAAGGCGCCAUUGUAGGUUUAUUCAAGAGACAGUGCUGACUAUGGGGAGUCAGAAAGUUACGCUGUGACAAUCUUAUGAUUCUAAUCCACGAGAUGACGGACAUAGCCACCGUGUUGGUGUGUAAAUGACUCUGAACUACAAUGUUUUAGUAUAAUUACUAUGUGCUACAAUAAAUGGUUAUGAGCAACUGUGAACAAUGACUGUACAAAAUAUGAACUACAAUAAACAUCUUCAUGUAUCAUCUCAGAACCACAUUGAAAAACUAUGAACAUAUGUGAACCAUUUUAAAUUAUUUUUAACAACUCUGAGCUAAUAUAAAAGUGGACUUGUUUGUAUCACUCAUCAACUUCUAUCGAACAAAAAUGAACUACGACUCACAUCAGUGCUAUUUGCUACUCCUAUGAAGUUUUAGGCAAAGAAGACGUUAUUGGGUGCCCUCACAAAAAAAAUUCAGCAGACGACAUAUUAGCAGAAGAUAAAUUUCCCAGCAUGCAAAGGGCUAACAGCGAGGGUGCCUUACAGACCAGCUUGGACUGCUGGACUUUCUAAUACUCAACUCACACUGGGACCAGAGACUUCCAAAUUCCAUAGCUUACAAGCCAACAGCACGGGACUCGAUUGCUGCAUGCGGAUCUGCAUAGCUAAAUUAAAACAAAGAAUGCAAAUGUCUCCAGCCAGGCCUUUUUCUGCCUAUCUUACAGGUCCGAUAGUCGGACCCAUUCCCCAAGCCAAAUAUGCAUUGAAGAUAGCAACUUAAUAUUUGGCAUGCAUGUGCAUCAACGGAGCUGCACAUUUUGAGUGGUGAAAGGUAAAGGGAAUCUUUCAACUGGUCAAAGGUAAAAAAAUAAAAAAUAAAAAUAAUAAAAGCGUGGCAUAAGGAGGCAUAGUGUUUCUGACAAAUACAUCUUUUGUUUCUUAUGAAAGAAAUCCAUUGUCCUUCAAUUAAAACUUUUUUUCUUACGAAGUUUGUUGUUUUUGGCAAAAAUCAUAAGUUUAGAAAAUGCCUUAUAGUAUAUAUUUAUCUUCGAUAAUCUUUGAUAUAUAUAAAUUGUUGACAGGUGUUAUCAAACUAAUAAGCAGAUUAGCUUAAUCAGCCUACACAUAACAAUUUUUUUUAAACAGUAAAUUGACGUGUUUUAUCAAUGAUCUCUUUUACCAAAUCAAUUAGCUGAUGAGACUUAAUCAGUCCAGCAAAGUGUUGACAGACUUAAUCAAUCGUCCAUAAUCGGUGCCGAUUGUCCUUUAGCACGAUAAAAUCAGAUUAUCCUGGACAAUACAUUCACAAGGUGCCAAUUGUUUGGGAAAGCACUAAAACGCAUGUUGCUGAUUGUACUAAUACCAUUUGGCUCCUAAUGUAUCCCGGAAAAAAAUACUUUUUUGAAAAACCCACUUAUCUGCUGAUACAAAUAAAGCUGACCCAUUUAUAAUCCUUUCAAAAUCACACAUCGUAUCAACCGUUAUGAUUCAAAGUAAGCUAUCAUUGGUUGAUAUAAUGGACCAGCUUUGUUAAAAAUGUACCGUGGUGAUUAGUGGGUUUUUCUAAACGUGUGCUUUUCCGGGAUAUUAGUCAAUUGACAGUAUUUCAACUAAAUGUAGACUAAUAUUAACAUUUGCCUAUUUUCUCUUUUUAAAAGUUUAUUGAUUAAGUAAUGAUGAUUAUAGAGUACAAAUAUAUCAAUACCAAAAAAUUGAGCGGUUACAUAUAUAUAAUGUAUGCAGCUUUGCAGCCAAUAUAGAUAUUGUUGAAAAAUGCUGCCAAUAGGGAUAGAAAAAAAACUAAUCACAUAUGAUUGGAUAAUUGCCAUAUAUUUAACAACACAAAAAUAUAAAUAUUACGGUAAUGUAAAAUUGUGAAAGUGCAAUAUGAUGUGAAAUUACAAUUACUUAUAAAUCACAAAAAUUGAAGUAUAAAUAAAAAAAAACAAAAAAA
Long non-coding RNA from Dreissena polymorpha, 2364 nucleotides. RefSeq lists it as uncharacterized. The transcript has 5 exons. NCBI's taxonomy places the organism in Eukaryota, Metazoa, Mollusca, Bivalvia, Myida, Dreissenidae. The record is from RefSeq and is a predicted model, not a curated record.